GUUGAUUUGGCUCAGUGGUUAGAGUGUCGGCCCUUGGACUGAGGGUUGUGGGUUCGAUUCCGGUAACCAAUC
RNAcentral lists this transfer RNA (72 nucleotides) under Myotis brandtii (Brandt's bat). It matches the Rfam family "tRNA". From Rfam's summary of the family: Transfer RNA (tRNA) molecules are approximately 80 nucleotides in length. Their secondary structure includes four short double-helical elements and three loops (D, anti-codon, and T loops). The record is from Rfam by way of RNAcentral. Lineage: Eukaryota; Metazoa; Chordata; Mammalia; Chiroptera; Vespertilionidae.